GAAUAGGCCGUUCCAAGAUGCUGUCAAAAUUAAAUCAAUAUGGCUACUGGAAGGCAAACAUUGAAUAUUAUUCUAUCAGGUUCUUAUGGUUUUAGAUCAUUUUAGUUGUUGUACAAAGAUUAAUUUAACAUUUUCUCUGGAAGUAUUAAUUUAGAAAGAUAAUAUGCCUCAUUGGUGUUGUGUUUUGAAGUGUGAAAUGCAAAGUAAUCGUGAUAAAGUUAGCUUUUACCACUUACCAUCAGUGCUACAUUCUAAGCACAAAACUGAACCAAUUUAACUAAAUAAGUUAUAGUUAUCAUCUGAGAGACAACAACAAUGGUAAAAUGCAAUAAAAUAUAAAGAUUUUACUAGCAAAAUGGAAAUUCCCCUGUAAUCAUCUUAUAUCUGGUAAGUUACAACAUUUGAACAUUAACGAUUUUUGAAGAUGUUAACAGUCUAAUCUUGUAGGAAAACCAGCCGACUUAACUGAUAAUAACAAUCCAGAUUGGGUUCCUUCAAUAAAUAUGGGGUAUAUAAACACAAUGAAAUGAGUUCCCCAAAAUCUAAAAUGGGAAUUAAGGUACCAAAGGAGAAUUAAAAGAAAAGGGUACCUACAAGAAAAAAUUGCUUUUUUAUUCCUCUUGAAAUGAUUUAUAAGACACUGGACUGUCUUAUAUUCUACAAAUACUAGAAUCAGCUGAGAGAAGUGGUCUACAAAAACCCAGGAAGGAAACGGAAUAUGUGGCUACGAAAGGCAAAAGAAAGGUUUACAAAGCAAAUGUGACACAUUUUUUUGAAAUAUUUAGGAAUAUCAGUAAAUUGCAUUAAAAAAAUGUAUGAAAAGAUUUUGUUCAAUAAAAAUGUUUAUAUUUA
Diabrotica virgifera virgifera (western corn rootworm) is the source of this 852-nucleotide long non-coding RNA. RefSeq lists it as uncharacterized. The transcript has 2 exons. The record is from RefSeq and is a predicted model, not a curated record. Lineage: Eukaryota; Metazoa; Arthropoda; Insecta; Coleoptera; Chrysomelidae.